GCCAAAGGCGAGUGCAAUAACCGAUAUACCACCAGGGA
RNAcentral lists this transfer RNA (38 nucleotides) under Moniliophthora perniciosa FA553. RNAcentral's name for it is "tRNA-Gln". The record is from RNAcentral. Lineage: Eukaryota; Fungi; Basidiomycota; Agaricomycetes; Agaricales; Marasmiaceae.